RNAcentral lists this ribosomal RNA (466 nucleotides) under uncultured bacterium. RNAcentral describes it as "partial 16S ribosomal RNA". It matches the Rfam family "Bacterial small subunit ribosomal RNA", at positions 28 to 507 of the family's 1533-position model. The record is from RNAcentral.
GACGAACGCUGGCGGCGCGCCUAACACAUGCAAGUCGAACGAGCGAGAGAGAGCUUGCUUUCUCAAGCGAGUGGCGAACGGGUGAGUAACGCGUGAGGAACCUGCCUCAAAGAGGGGGACAACAGUUGGAAACGACUGCUAAUACCGCAUAAGCCCACAGGUCGGCAUCGACCAGAGGGAAAAGGAGCAAUCCGCUUUGAGAUGGCCUCGCGUCCGAUUAGCUAGUUGGUGAGGUAACGGCCCACCAAGGCAACGAUCGGUAGCCGGACUGAGAGGUUUAACGGCCACAUUGGGACUGAGACACGGCCCAGACUCCUACGGGAGGCAGCAGUGGGGAAUAUUGCACAAUGGGGGAAACCCUGAUGCAGCGACGCCGCGUGGAGGAAGAAGGUCUUCGGAUUGUAAACUCCUGUUGUUGAGGAAGAUAAUGACGGUACUCAACAAGGAAGUGACGGCUAACUACGUG